This 498-nucleotide ribosomal RNA is filed under the name uncultured bacterium. RNAcentral's name for it is "partial 16S ribosomal RNA". It matches the Rfam family "Bacterial small subunit ribosomal RNA", at positions 28 to 507 of the family's 1533-position model. The record is from RNAcentral.
GACGAACGCUGGCGGCGUGCCUAAUACAUGCAAGUCGAGCGGACGAAUCGAAAGCUUGCUUUUGAUUCGUUAGCGGCGGUCGGGUGAGUAACACGUGGGCAACCUGCCCUGUAGACGGGGAUAACACCGAGAAAUCGGUGCUAAUACCGGAUAACACGAAAUGUCGCAUGACGUUUCGUUGAAAGACGGCGCAAGCUGCCGCUACAGGAUGGGCCCGCGGCGCAUUAGCUAGUUGGUGAGGUAACGGCUCACCAAGGCGACGAUACGUAGCCGACCUGAGAGGGUGAUCGGCCACACUGGGACUGAGACACGGCCCAGACUCCUACGGGAGGCAGCAGUAGGGAAUCUUCCGCAAUGGACGAAAGUCUGACGGAGCAACGCCGCGUGAGCGAAGAAGGCCUUCGGGUCGUAAAGCUCUGUUGUUAGGGAAGAACAAGUAACGCAGUAACUGGCGUUACCGUGACGGUACCUAACGAGAAAGCCACGGCUAACUACGUG